RNAcentral lists this ribosomal RNA (301 nucleotides) under uncultured bacterium. RNAcentral describes it as "partial 16S ribosomal RNA". It matches the Rfam family "Bacterial small subunit ribosomal RNA", at positions 509 to 807 of the family's 1533-position model. The record is from RNAcentral.
CAGUAGCCGCGGUAAUACGUAGGGGGCAAGCGUUAUCCGGAAUUACUGGGUGUAAAGCGUGCGCAGGCGGUUAUAUAAGUCAGAUGUGAAAUCCCCGGGCUCAACCUGGGAACUGCAUUUGAGACUGUAUGGCUAGAGUGUGUCAGAGGGGGGUAGAAUUCCACGUGUAGCAGUGAAAUGCGUAGAUAUGUGGAGGAAUACCGAUGGCGAAGGCAGCCCCCUGGGAUAACACUGACGCUCAUGCACGAAAGCGUGGGGAGCAAACAGGAUUAGAGACCCCCGUAGUCCCUGUCUCUUAUAC